UCGGGAAUUUUGGGCAAUGGGCGAAAGCCUGACCCAGCAACGCCGCGUGAAGGAUGAAGUAUUUCGGUAUGUAAACUUCGUAAGAAUAGGAAGAAUAAAUGACGGUACUAUUUGUAAGGUCCGGCUAACUACGUGCCAGCAGCCGCGGUAAUACGUAGGGACCAAGCGUUGUUCGGAUUUACUGGGCGUAAAGGGCGCGUAGGCGGUGUGUCAAGUCAGUUGUGAAAUCUCCGAGCUUAACUCGGGACGGUCAACUGAUACUGUCACACUAGAGUACAGAAGGGGCAAUCGGAAUUCCUGGUGUAGAGGUGAAAUUCGUAGAUAUCAGGAAGAACAUCAGUGGCGAAGGCGACCACCUGGACGAUGACUGACGCUGAGGCGCGAAAGCGUGGGUAGCAAACAGGAUUAGAUACCCCCGUAGUCCCUGAGCGGGCUGGCAAGGCGCAU
Molecule: ribosomal RNA, 447 nt
Filed under: uncultured bacterium
Lineage: Bacteria
Description: bacterial SSU rRNA
Rfam family: Bacterial small subunit ribosomal RNA
Source: RNAcentral